Molecule: transfer RNA, 56 nt
Filed under: Toxocara canis (dog roundworm)
Lineage: Eukaryota; Metazoa; Nematoda; Chromadorea; Rhabditida; Toxocaridae
Description: tRNA-Gly
Source: RNAcentral
GACCUUUUAGUAUAUUUUUGUAUGCCCGACUUCCAAUCGGGAGGUUUGUUAGGUUA